This 435-nucleotide ribosomal RNA is filed under the name uncultured bacterium. RNAcentral describes it as "partial 16S ribosomal RNA". It matches the Rfam family "Bacterial small subunit ribosomal RNA", at positions 29 to 507 of the family's 1533-position model. The record is from RNAcentral.
AGCGAACGCUGGCGGCAGGCUUAACACAUGCAAGUCGAACGGGCAUCUUCGGAUGUCAGCGGCAGACGGGUGAGUAACACGUGGGAACGUACCCUUCGGUUCGGAACAACUCUGGGAAACUGGAGCUAAUACCGGAUACGCCCUUAUGGGGAAAGGUUUACUGCCGAAGGAUCGGCUCGCGUCUGAUUAGCUAGUUGGUGGGGUAACGGCCUACCAAGGCGACGAUCAGUAGCUGGUCUGAGAGGAUGAUCAGCCACACUGGGACUGAGACACGGCCCAGACUCCUACGGGAGGCAGCAGUGGGGAAUAUUGGACAAGGGGCGCAAGCCUGAUCCAGCCAUGCCGCGUGAGUGAUGAAGGCCUUAGGGUUGUAAAGCUCUUUUGUCCGGGACGAUAAUGACGGUACCGGAAGAAUAAGCCCCGGCCAACUUCGUG